Peromyscus maniculatus bairdii (prairie deer mouse) is the source of this 705-nucleotide non-coding RNA. The record is from RefSeq and is a predicted model, not a curated record. NCBI's taxonomy places the organism in Eukaryota, Metazoa, Chordata, Mammalia, Rodentia, Cricetidae.
GUGCCUUCAGAAGCAAACAAAAACAAUACAUAUGGCUACUGUAAAGACAAUUAUGACAUUCCCUUGAGAGGCUCAGGCCCGAACAUAGAUGCCGAAGAUAAGCCUCUUGCAGAACACAAUAUACAAAUUAUCCUUCACCUGUUACUCCCACAAGUAAUAUCGGCAACCAUAUCAUACCUCUGUCUGGAAAGCAGAUUCACACCAGGAUGAGGAAUCAGCCGGAAGAGUUGCAGCGGGCAGCCCCAGAGGGCGGAGAUCCUGACACAGGUGUAAACUAUAAACUGGAAAUGACUACAGAUGGAAGCAUUGGGCUACCUGGAAGAGGAGCCAACACCCUCAGAGCUGAGGCAACUCCAGCCUACACCUGUGCACCGAACUCAUCCUGAACUAAGCUCUGAAGAGAUGCAGUGCGAUGCAAGAUCCAAAGAGGAGCACCUACCUAAAAGAGGGACUGCCAGAGUAGUUUGCUGAUAUCAAAGUACCUCCGAGCCUUCCAGAAUAUAAGUGCUUCCUGGAGACAUUCAGAUCAUUGGCUUCUAGCAACAUCAGCAAUUCACCCCUGGCAAACCCAGUGAGUAACUAGAGAAAUACAGCAGACCUCGAAACACCAGAACCAAGUUUACGGCCUCUGUGGGAUUCCUGCACUGACUUUUCCCCUUUGACUGCGGCAAGUACUGAAUUGCUUAUAAACGCAUGUAAAUAUUA